CCUACGGGCGGCAGCAGUGGGGAAUAUUGGACAAUGGGCGAAAGCCUGAUCCAGCCAUGCCGCGUGUGUGAAGAAGGCCUUCGGGUUGUAAAGCACUUUCAGUGGGGAAGAAAGCCUUGGGGCUAAUACCCUCGAGGAAGGACAUCACCCACAGAAGAAGCACCGGCUAACUCCGUGCCAGCAGCCGCGGUAAUACGGAGGGUGCGAGCGUUAAUCGGAAUUACUGGGCGUAAAGCGCGCGUAGGCGGUCUGAUAAGCCGGUUGUGAAAGCCCCGGGCUCAACCUGGGAACGGCAUCCGGAACUGUCAGGCUAGAGUGCAGGAGAGGAAGGUAGAAUUCCCGGUGUAGCGGUGAAAUGCGUAGAGAUCGGGAGGAAUACCAGUGGCGAAGGCGGCCUUCUGGACUGACACUGACGCUGAGGUGCGAAAGCGUGGGUAGCAAACAGGAUUAGAUACCCCGGAGUC
This 464-nucleotide ribosomal RNA is filed under the name Vreelandella stevensii. RNAcentral describes it as "partial 16S ribosomal RNA". It matches the Rfam family "Bacterial small subunit ribosomal RNA", at positions 338 to 795 of the family's 1533-position model. The record is from RNAcentral. Lineage: Bacteria; Pseudomonadati; Pseudomonadota; Gammaproteobacteria; Oceanospirillales; Halomonadaceae.